Molecule: ribosomal RNA, 700 nt
Filed under: uncultured bacterium
Lineage: Bacteria
Description: bacterial SSU rRNA
Rfam family: Bacterial small subunit ribosomal RNA
Source: RNAcentral
AGCGGCGCACGGGUGAGUAACACGUGGGUAACCUACCUGAGGGUCUGGGAUAACCCCGGGAAACUGGGGCUAAUACCGGGCGAGACCACAGUGUCCUCGGACACAGCGGUCAAAGAUGGCCUCUCCUUGGAAGCUAUCGCCCUCAGAUGAGCCCACGUCCCAUUAGCUAGUUGGCGGGGUAACGGCCCACCAAGGCGACGAUGGGUAGCUGGUCUGAGAGGAUGAUCAGCCACACUGGAACUGAGACACGGUCCAGACUCCUACGGGAGGCAGCAGUCGGGAAUCUUGGGCAAUGGACGAAAGCCUGACCCAGCAACGCCGCGUGAGGGAUGAAGGCCUUCGGGUCGUAAACCUCUGUCGGGAGGGACGAAAGGUCGCCGGAAUAACAAGCCGGAGGCUUGACGGUACCUCUAAAGGAAGCGCCGGCUAACUCCGUGCCAGCAGCCGCGGUAGUACGGAGGGCGCAAGCGUUGUUCGGAAUUACUGGGCGUAAAGCGCGUGUAGGCGGCCAGGUAAGUCGGGUGUGAAAGCCCGGGGCCCAACCCCGGAACUGCACCCGAUACUGCCCGGCUAGAGUCCCGGAGAGGAUGGCGGAAUUUCCGGUGUAGAGGUGAAAUUCGUAGAUAUCGGAAGGAACACCAGUGGCGAAGGCGGCCAUCUGGACGGUGACUGACGCUGAGACGCGAAAGCGUGGGGAGCA